Molecule: long non-coding RNA, 1242 nt
Organism: Rhineura floridana
Lineage: Eukaryota; Metazoa; Chordata; Lepidosauria; Squamata; Rhineuridae
Exons: 5
Source: RefSeq, a predicted model, not a curated record
GUCCUAUAAGCCCAACUCACCUUUUAGAUGCCUGACCACCAACAGUCGUGUCAGAGAGAAGAGAGGGAGCUCCAAAGAUUCAAAGACUGCAGGACAGCUCCAUACUCACUCAGCCACAGCAACAGACAUGAAACAGACAUCAUGGGGCAUUUGUUUUCCCACAGAUAUUAAUCUCCAGACCCAAUCAUAUGGGCUGUAAGAUGAGCCCUAGCCUGGUAAAAUUGAACAGGCCAGGCGUCACAUGCAGGGUGUUCCAGGUUUGAAUCCAGGACACAACAUACUAGAAAGUGAAAAAACCAUUAAAACAUAUAACAACAAUUCCAAUGCAGACACAGACUGGGAAACAUCUCUAUUUAAAAGGCUUGUUUUAAAAUAUCAGUAGGCACCGAAAGACAACAAAGACAGCACCUGUUUAAUAUUUAAUGGAAGGAAAUUCCACAAGACAAAGAAAUUUGAAGAGGAGCAGCAAAUUGGAUGAAAUAAAAAACUACAAACGUGACUUUUGGUUCCAGUGGAAUUUCACUAGGCAAGAAGUGCUUAUAUUUCUACAAGAAUUUGCAAGAGGAGGCAGUACUCAUCACAGAAGUGCUUAUUAAUUGCUUGAUCGUGUUAAUUGCAUAUUGAAUGUUUCUGCACUACAUCUGGUUGAAUGCCAUGCAAGUCACAUAAAUUAAAAUCCCUUGCUACAUCCACCAGCUUUACAGGCAAGCCUCACCACCACCACCCCGUGCCUCUUUCUUAAGAUCACAGCGAUGGGUUUGCUUCCUGAACCUGCUACUGUACUCUGAGGCAGGGAGGACUCUGAAAGGAAGGAAAGAAGGAUUAAGCACCUCCCAGACCCACAAAGUCAACCCUCUCCACCUUGCUGUAAUUAGCCAUGAUGGGCAAAGACCAAGAACACAAGUGGUCAGAUGAAAGCCUUCAAGCAUCUUGUCUACAUCCUCAGGCUAUAAGAACUGAAAUUGAUCCCAUAUGACCAGACCAGAUGACGUUCUGUAUAUCUCCUUAGAAACUGUUCCAAGAGUCAUGUCAAGAUCAGAGAUAAUAUGGGUAACUUUGCCUUCAAAGCAUCAUGCAAACUUGUUACAGCAGUCCUCUGUGGAUAUUAUACAUCCCUUCAGAUUUACUUUCAUAUUUAUUUAUUUAUUUUGAAUAGAAUAGUGUUUAUUGCAUUAGUCAGUAGACCAUGGCAAAAUAAAGCAAGGUACCCAAAGUUAUAAGACAAAUAAACUACUAAAUCUA